CUACGGGGUGCUGCAGUGGGGAAUCUUAGACAAUGGGCGCAAGCCUGAUCUAGCCAUGCCGCGUGAGCGAUGAAGGCCUUAGGGUUGUAAAGCUCUUUCAGCUGGGAAGAUAAUGACUGUACCAGCAGAAGAAGCCCCGGCUAACUCCGUGCCAGCAGCCGCGGUAAUACGGAGGGGGCUAGCGUUGUUCGGAAUUACUGGGCGUAAAGCGCACGUAGGCGGACUGGAAAGUCAGGGGUGAAAUCCCGGGGCUCAACCCCGGAACUGCCUUUGAAACUCCCAGUCUUGAGGUCGAGAGAGGUGAGUGGAAUUCCGAGUGUAGAGGUGAAAUUCGUAGAUAUUCGGAGGAACACCAGUGGCGAAGGCGGCUCACUGGCUCGAUACUGACGGUGAGGUGCGAAAGCGUGGGGAGCAAACAGGAUUAGAUACCCUUGUAGUC
This 439-nucleotide ribosomal RNA is filed under the name uncultured bacterium. RNAcentral describes it as "partial 16S ribosomal RNA". It matches the Rfam family "Bacterial small subunit ribosomal RNA", at positions 339 to 795 of the family's 1533-position model. The record is from RNAcentral.